RNAcentral lists this long non-coding RNA (1433 nucleotides) under Chrysolophus pictus (golden pheasant). RNAcentral's name for it is "lncRNA (ENSCPIG00010003108.1)". The record is from RNAcentral. Lineage: Eukaryota; Metazoa; Chordata; Aves; Galliformes; Phasianidae.
AUGGGGUCCUAUGGGGUCUUUUAGGGUCCUAUAGGGUCUUUUAGGGUCUUAUAGGGUCCUAUGGGCUCUUACGGGAUCCUGUGGGGUCCUAUGGGGUUCUAUGGGUCUUUUGGGGUCCAAUGGGGUCUUAUGGGAUCCUCUGGGGUUGUAUGGGGUCUUAUGGGGUCUUAUGGGGUCCUGUCGGGUCUUUUAGGGUCCUAUAGGGUCUUGUAGGAUUUUAUAGGGUUCUAUUGGGUCUUAUAGGGUCCUAUGGGGUCUUAUAGGGUCCUUUGGGGUCUUUUAGGGUUUUAAGGGGUUUUUUAGUGUUUUAUGGGGUCCUAUUGGGCUUUAUGGGGUCCUAUAGAGUGUUUUGGGGUUUUAAGGGAUCUUAUUGGUUCUUAAGGUGUCUUAUAGGGUUUUAUAGGGUUGUAUGGGCUCCUAUGGGGUCUUAUAGGGUCGUAUGUGGCCCUAUGGGAUUUUAUAGGGUCGUAUGGGGUCUUAUAGGGUCGUAUGCUUUUCUAUGGGAUCUUAUGAUGGGGUCUUAUAGGGUCAUAUGCGUUUCUAUGGGAUCUUACAUGGUCUUAUGGGGGUUACAGCUCUUAUGGGGUCUUACAUAGGGUUUUAUGGGGUCUUAUGGGGUCUUAUGGGAUUUUAUGGGAUCGUGCGGGGUUUUGUGGCUCCUUCCGGUAGCACCCAUGGGUGCCGCCACCCUUUUUCCAGGCUUUGGGGAACGCCAAAACCACCCGCAACGACAACAGCAGCCGCUUCGGGAAAUACGUCGAGCUGAGCUUCGAUGGGUGCCAGCGCCUCCUGGGCGCCCACGUCAGCACCUUCCUGCUCGAGAAGUCCAGGGUGGUCUUCCAGGUCAGCACCCAUGGGUGCUGGGGGCACCCAUACACCCCCGAAUCCCAAACGACCCCAUAAAACCCCAUAAAGCCCCAUAAAACCCCAUAGAAAUCUAUAGGAUCCCAUAGGAUCCCAUAAAGCACCCACAUCAGCACCUUCCUGCUCAAGAAGUCCAGGGUGCUCUUCCAGGUCAGCACCCAUGGGUGCUGGGGGCACCCGUACACUCCCGAAUCCCAAACGACCCCAUAAAACCCCAUAAAGCCCCAUAAAACCCCAUAGAAAUCCAUAGGAUCACAUUGGAUCCCAUAGGAAACCCAUAUCAGCACCUUCCUGCUCGAGAAGUCCAGGGUGGUCUUCCAGGUCAGCCCCCAUGGGUGCUGGGGGCACCCAUACACCCUCGAAUCCCAAACGACCCCAUAAAACCCCAUAAAGCCCCAUAAAACCCCAUAAAGCCCCAUAAAACCCCAUAAAGCCCCAUAAAACCCCAUAAAGCCCCAUAAAACCCCAUAAAGCCCCAUAAAACCCCAUAAAGCCCCAUAAAACCCCAUAAAGCCCCAUAAAACCCCAUAAAGCCCCAUAAAACCCCAUAGAACCCCAUAAAACCCAAU